GAGGUUGUGGCUCAGUGGUAGAGCGCUUGCCUAGCACAUGCGAGGCCCUGGGUUCAAUCCUCAGCACCUCG
This 71-nucleotide transfer RNA is filed under the name Marmota marmota marmota (Alpine marmot). It matches the Rfam family "tRNA". From Rfam's summary of the family: Transfer RNA (tRNA) molecules are approximately 80 nucleotides in length. Their secondary structure includes four short double-helical elements and three loops (D, anti-codon, and T loops). The record is from Rfam by way of RNAcentral. Lineage: Eukaryota; Metazoa; Chordata; Mammalia; Rodentia; Sciuridae. RNAcentral also lists the same sequence under 1 other name.